Molecule: unclassified non-coding RNA, 336 nt
Filed under: soil metagenome
Description: partial contains 5.8S ribosomal RNA, internal transcribed spacer 2, and large subunit ribosomal RNA
Rfam family: 5.8S ribosomal RNA (bases 3-120)
Source: RNAcentral
GGUGAAGAACGCAGCGAAAUGCGAUAAGCAGUGUGAAUUGCAGAAUUCAGUGAAUCAUCGAAUCUUUGAACGCACAUUGCGCCCCUUGGUAUUCCAUGGGGCAUGCCUGUUCGAGCGUCAUUUGUACCUUCAAGCUCUGCUUGGUGUUGGGUGUUUGUCUCGCCUCUGCGUGUAGACUCGCCUCAAAACAAUUGGCAGCCGGCGUAUUGAUUUCGGAGCGCAGUACAUCUCGCGCUUUGCACUCAUAACGACGACGUCCAAAAGUACAUUUUUACACUCUUGACCUCGGAUCAGGUAGGGAUACCCGCUGAACUUAAGCAUAUCAAAAGCGGAGGA